Phoenix dactylifera (date palm) is the source of this 235-nucleotide non-coding RNA. The record is from RefSeq and is a predicted model, not a curated record. Lineage: Eukaryota; Viridiplantae; Streptophyta; Magnoliopsida; Arecales; Arecaceae.
CCCAGUGGAAAGUUGAGUUGCAAUGGAUACAGCAGAUUGUCAAGUAGACUCCAGUUCAUGAAAGGUUUCUGAAACUUGAUAAGAAAACUGCCGAUCUUGUUGGUAAUGAGAAGCUGAAGGCUAGUGCCAGUGUUAGACAUCUUGUUCUUCCCUGUACGCGUCAAGCAAGAGUACAACUUAUUCCAGAUAUUAUUCACUGUUAUAGCCGUGGAGGCCGUACCAUUAUUUUUACUGA